CGCGCCGGCGUGCCGCAGGGCCUACCGGGAAACGCGGCCUCGGAACCACAACCCCCAGCAUGCUCUGCGUGUUCAGGGAACUCCAUCUCCCAGCAUGCCGAGGGACUCCGGCCUAGCGCACCUACUGGGGACUACCACUCCCAUCAUGCCGCGGGCCCCUCUCUCAGAGCGCUGCGGGGCCUCUGCGCGCGGUGCACGCUGGGAGAUGUAUUCCUUCUGGGGCGCGGCGGUCACAGUGCCUGGCUACACGUGGUGCUGCCACGCCGGUCAGGGGUCCCCUUCUGUCCGGGCCCCGGGCCUGCAGGCGAGGGGAAAUGGAGGGGAAAAGGGUAAUUACUGUAAAAAAUCAAAAGGAAAAAUCCUUCCUUCCCCAGCAGUUUUUAACUCUAAAAGAGGAGGAGGCAGAGAUGCCACGAAGUGCUCGUGGGAGAGCGAGCAGCGUGUCCAGCCCCACCUGGAGAGGAGUCACCAGAACAGAUGCCUCCGCAAGACACUGCCAGAGGAAUGACGGUGAGGGGACACUCACAGGGCUGGUCCCAGCAUCGAGUCAGAGCAAAGGAACUCCGGCAGACGGAUCUGAACACGAACAACAAGAACAGGGUCUCUGCACCUGUAACACCACGGCCUGUGUGAAGAGGGAAGUUAGCACCUGCAGAGAGGCUGGAAAAAAAAGACAAGAGGAAAUGUUCCAGGAACUAGUGACUGCAUUCCAACAGAGGGCCUUGAAGAAGUUUGGAGGGAAGGUUUCCUGGUGCGACCACAAAGCAUCAAAGUAGAGUGCAUGGCCUUGGAAAGGGAUAUGAUACAGACUCAAACAGGCUGUUGGAGCACCUUUUGGGACAAAGGUCAAGCACUGCUCCCCAACCUUGCAAUGUCCUGCAGACUAUAGGGAACAUACCAGACUGGGAUCACCAUUUCAUUCAAGCUUUACAACUCCUUCCAGAACAAUCCACCUACCAGGAUAUGGAGAAGGAGAACCCCUUCAAACACAUCACCUACAGGAGUUUAUGAGCCUUCAGUUUGGCCUUGCCACAGUUCCACUGGCCCCAGAUUUGCACUGUGUUCUUAGUUCACUGUUUUUUUUUAAUCAAGUAGUUAUGUAUUCCCUAUGUUAUUUGUUCAUUCAAUGAAUUUUUGGGGGUAGAACUCAGCUGAAAAAUGUCAUUGAGGUACAGCCCAACCCACAAAUUAUGCAACAUCAACCCAUAGUAUCAAUUCCUAAUAAAAUCAGCACACAAACAAACACAUUUCAGUCAUUUCCUUGGCUGCAGCACAUUCAUUACCCACAACUAUCCCGUGGGCACAGUGCAUCUUUAACCCUAGUUCUUUGAUCACUUGGGGCUAGAUUCACAAAAGGACUUAUGCACCUAAUUGUCACCUUAGGCACUUAAAUCCCAGAAUCAGGCCCCACUGGGAUUCCCAAAACCCCUACUCAGCUGCUGCUGAACUUUGUAGAUGUUUAAUUUCACUCGGCAGCCACAUUUUUGCAGCAGAAGUUCCUUAGGUGCCUAUGUUGCUGCCUGUACAUGACCUCACUGUAGCUCCACACCAGGCGUCUGGACUCCUAACCCGCACUGUGAUGCACAAACCAGGGUAGACAAACAUUCUUCCACCUCACACACCCACAGGGCCCAAUCUGGUAGGCAAAGAUCUGUACACACAUACCAGAGUAGGUCCCUAUAAGCAAGCUUCCACAGACACAGCUGUGGGGGGAGAGGAGAAGGAGGCCCUCCCUAACAACUUUUAGCCUAGUGGUUAGGAUACACACCUAGGAUGCAGGAAACCUAGUUCAAGUCCCUCCCAUUGAGUCCAGCACGAACCAGGAUUGUUGCCUGCAGGACAUUUCCUAUGGCUUUGUCCUGCUCAGGUUUAAUGGGCCCAUGUGACAGGGCUUCCGCUGAGUUACAUGGUGUUCAGUCCUGAGCCACCUCAAGGCAGGAGAGCUCAGAUUCGGAUGGAGGCUCAUGCCUAACUCCUCAUUCUGGGACACUGCUAGCCCUGCAUGUCUCGCCACUUUUCCAACAUCACCACGCAAACGUGAGUCCAGACACGUCCCUCAGCGUUACUCCAGUUACACUAACGACGGGCCCCAAGUCAGAAAAGAACCAUCCCCUCCCCCCAGACUUCAGACCUCAGGCCCCGCUGUGAUUUGCACCAAUCGUCCCACCUCAU
Long non-coding RNA from Mauremys reevesii (Reeves's turtle), 2172 nucleotides. RefSeq lists it as uncharacterized. The record is from RefSeq and is a predicted model, not a curated record. NCBI's taxonomy places the organism in Eukaryota, Metazoa, Chordata, Testudines, Geoemydidae. The transcript is spliced from 2 exons.